GACGAACGCUGGCGGCGUGCUUAACACAUGCAAGUCGAACGGAAAGGCCCUGCUUGCCGGGUGCUCGAGUGGCGAACGGGUGAGUAACACGUGGGUGAUCUGCCCCUUACUUUGGGAUAAGCCUGGGAAACUGGGUCUAAUACUGGAUAGGACCAUGCUGUAGGUGGUGUGGUGGAAAGAUUAGUUUCGGUAAGGGAUGAGCUCGCGGCCUAUCAGCUUGUUGGUGGGGUACUGGCCUACCAAGGCGUCGACGGGGAGCCGGCCUGAGAGGGUGGACGGCCACAUUGGGACUGAGAGACGGCCCAGACUCCGACGGGAGGCAGCAGGGGGGAAUAUUGCACAAUGGGCGCAAGCCUGAGGCAGCGACGCCGCGUGGGGGAUGACGGCCUUCGGGGGGUAAACUCCUUUCAGCCAUGACGAAGCCUUGGGGUGACGGUAGUGGUAGAAGAAGCACCGGCUAACUACGUG
This 468-nucleotide ribosomal RNA is filed under the name uncultured bacterium. RNAcentral's name for it is "partial 16S ribosomal RNA". It matches the Rfam family "Bacterial small subunit ribosomal RNA", at positions 28 to 507 of the family's 1533-position model. The record is from RNAcentral.